GAUUUCUGACGAACCGGAGUGGCCCGUUUCCUUUCAGGGAAUGAGUGCCGCUUUGAGUUUGUCAUCCUUCCAGAGAGCUGCGUCUACCGUUUAUUCGGCCGGACGUAUGCGAUCUGGAUCUAUUACUUUGAAAAAAUUAGAGUGUUUAAAGCAGGCUUACGCUGUGAAUACAUUAGCAUGGAAUAAUAAUCUAGGACUUCGGUUCUAUUUUGUUGGUUUCUAUAACUGAAGUAAUGAUUGAUAGGGAUAGUUGGGGGUGCUAGUAUUGGCCGGCCAGAGGUGAAAUUCUUGGAUUCGGUCAAGACUAACUUAUGCGAAAGCAUU
This 324-nucleotide ribosomal RNA is filed under the name uncultured Euglypha. Its description in RNAcentral is "SSU rRNA". The stretch from base 109 to 324 matches the Rfam family "Eukaryotic small subunit ribosomal RNA", at positions 738 to 955 of the family's 1831-position model. Lineage: Eukaryota; Cercozoa; Imbricatea; Euglyphida; Euglyphidae. The record is from RNAcentral.